AUGCUCACUUCGGCAGCACACAGAGUAAAAUCGGAGCGAUACAAAGGAGAUUAGCGUGGCCCCUGCGCAAGGAUGACACGCAAAUUCACAAAGCGUUCCCACUUAAA
This 107-nucleotide small nuclear RNA is filed under the name Echinops telfairi (small Madagascar hedgehog). Lineage: Eukaryota; Metazoa; Chordata; Mammalia; Afrosoricida; Tenrecidae. The record is from RNAcentral.